UUAGUGAUGAAGCUAUGCAGCUAAUAUAUUAAUGCAUACAUGUAUGGCCGAUUAUAUAUUAUUUCUACCGUUAAGGAAUAUUGCCAGUGGAAUACAAUGUUAUGACAGCGUAACGUUCUCUAAACUACCCUCUUGGCAGAUAUAAAAAAUAAAUGGAAAAUCUGGAGAAAGAAAGGCCAGGAAUUGCACAACGGAUGAAUCUGGCCCACCUUCCUCUCUAGCGAAACGCAGUUGGCUCUGGAUUGCAAUACUGGAUCACUUGUUUGUAUCACCAUAUCAUCUAUUUAAUAUCCAGCCACAGACCCAGCUACCAUAGCUUACACUGUCACAGCCCAAAAAAGCAAAACCUAGAAUUUGGACGCUGCUGAGGUUAACAUGGAUGCUUGCCUUUUAUUUUAUUUUUAUUCCGCAAGAUCUUUUGGCUCCCCAAAACAGCAAUUAAAAGCAAAAGAAACACCUCAAUGUGGGUUUUGCUGCAGCCCUCCUGAAUCAUCAUGCUAAAAAUGAAUCAUGUGCAUUAGUCAUCUGCUGAGCUGGGGCUCGAGUGGUGGGUUUAAAUAACCAGUGCUCCAAAAGGCAUUUAAUAUCAGGGCCACGUGAAACUCUCAGGAUUACUCAGCAGAGCCCCUCAAGGGUCCAGACUACACAGAAGUGUGAGAAGAGCCACUCCUGAGAGGCAGGGUUGAGUCUGUGCUACUAAAGACAUUUCCAUUUCAAGCUCUGACAACAUUAAAGAAGAAAUUUAUUGGAGUUCAUCACACAGUCUGAAUCCUGUGGAGCCAAGGAUUUAUUUUUGACCCCCAUCAUCUUUUAUUUUCAUCUUUCUAGUCUUCCCUUUUGAUUUAUUCCUCCUACUCUAGUCUGAAUCAACUGUUGUCCUGGGAACACUGAGAACAGUCUUCAUGAGAUUCACCUGUGGCGCAUGAAAACUUUCUAACAGGCACAUUUUUCAUUUCCAAACUUUCUGCCUGUGGGAGAAUGACUUAAGAGGGAAGAUACAUCAAUGUUAUGAGGCAAGAAGAGGAAAGAAGAGAAGGGGGAGUGAAUACCAUGCAGUUAUAAGGCUAAUAAAGAAUUCCUUGAAAAGUUUUAAAAACAGAAAAAUGGCUUUGCUGCAUCUAUGUUUCAAUGUUUCAUCUAACAUUACA
Oxyura jamaicensis (ruddy duck) is the source of this 1148-nucleotide long non-coding RNA. RefSeq lists it as uncharacterized. The record is from RefSeq and is a predicted model, not a curated record. The transcript is spliced from 4 exons. NCBI's taxonomy places the organism in Eukaryota, Metazoa, Chordata, Aves, Anseriformes, Anatidae.